AAGCUCGUAGUUGAAUUUCGGGAUCAAUAUGUCGGUCGUGCCUCGGUACGUACUGGCAUCAUUGGUUUCUUCCUUUUGAUGAACCAUGAUGCCAUUAAUUUGGUGUCGUGGGGAAUCAGGACUGUUACUUUGAAAAAAUUAGAGUGUUUAAAGCAGGCAUACGCUUGAAUACAUUAGCAUGGAAUAAUGAAAUAGGACGUUUGAUUCUAUUUUGUUGGUUUCUAGGAUCGGCGUAAUGAUUAAUAGGGAUAGUUGGG
Molecule: ribosomal RNA, 257 nt
Filed under: uncultured Glomeromycotina
Lineage: Eukaryota; Fungi; Glomeromycota
Description: partial 18S ribosomal RNA
Rfam family: Eukaryotic small subunit ribosomal RNA
Source: RNAcentral